Molecule: non-coding RNA, 36 nt
Organism: Hydrogenophilaceae bacterium CG1_02_62_390
Lineage: Bacteria; Pseudomonadati; Pseudomonadota; Hydrogenophilia; Hydrogenophilales; Hydrogenophilaceae
Source: Rfam
GUAUUUCCGGGGCAUCCGCCCCGGCCUCAUUGAAGC